Molecule: ribosomal RNA, 253 nt
Filed under: uncultured bacterium
Lineage: Bacteria
Description: partial 16S ribosomal RNA
Rfam family: Bacterial small subunit ribosomal RNA
Source: RNAcentral
UACGUAGGGACCGAGCGUUGUCCGGAAUCAUUGGGCGUAAAGGGUGCGUAGGCGGUCGGGUAAGUCUGAUGUGAAAUCUCACAGCUUAACUGUGAAACUGCAUUGGAUACUAUCCGGCUUGAGGAAUGGAGGGGAGACUGGAAUUCCCGGUGUAGCAGUGAAAUGCGUAGAGAUCGGGAGGAACACCAGUGGCGAAGGCGGCUACCUGGACCAGCAUUGACACUCAAGCACGAAAGCGUGGGGAGCAAACAGG